UACAGAGGGGGCAAGCGUUAUUCGGAAUUAUUGGGCGUAAAGGGCGCGUAGGCGGCCUGGUAAGUCGAUGGUGAAAUCCCCGAGCUCAACUCGGGAACUGCCGUCGAUACUGCUUGGCUUGAGUCCGGAAGGGGAGAGUGGAAUUCCCAGUGUAGCGGUGAAAUGCGUAGAUAUUGGGAGGAACACCGGUGGCGAAGGCGGCUCUCUGGGCCGGUUCUGACGCUGAGGCGCGAAAGCGUGGGUAG
This 245-nucleotide ribosomal RNA is filed under the name uncultured Acidobacteriota bacterium. RNAcentral's name for it is "uncultured Acidobacteria bacterium partial 16S ribosomal RNA". It matches the Rfam family "Bacterial small subunit ribosomal RNA", at positions 524 to 768 of the family's 1533-position model. Lineage: Bacteria; Pseudomonadati; Acidobacteriota. The record is from RNAcentral.